AGAGUUUGAUCCUGGCUCAGGAUGAACGCUAGCGGGAGGCUUAACACAUGCAAGCCGAGGGGUAUAUAAUUGCUUGCAAUUAUAGAGACCGGCGGAUGGGUGAGUAACGCGUAUGAAACCUGCCCUAUUCAUCAGGAUAGCCCUAGGAAACUGGGAUUAAUACUGAAUAACACUAAUAUCGGCAUCGAUGUUGGUUAAAAGAUUUAUCGGAAUAGGAUGGUCAUGCGUCAGAUUAGUUAGUUGGUAGGGUAACGGCCUACCAAGGCAAUGAUCUGUAGGGGGCCUGAGAGGGUGAUCCCCCACACUGGUACUGAGACACGGACCAGACUCCUACGGGAGGCAGCAGUGAGGAAUAUUGGACAAUGGGUGAGAGCCUGAUCCAGCCAUCCCGCGUGCAGGAAGAAUGCCUUAUGGGUUGUAAACUGCUUUUAUACAGGAAUAAACCACUUUACGUGUAAGGUGUUGAAGGUACUGUAUGAAUAAGCAUCGGCUAACUCCGUGCCAGCAGCCGCGGUAAUACGGAGGAUGCAAGCGUUAUCCGGAUUUAUUGGGUUUAAAGGGUCCGUAGGCGGGCAUAUAAGUCAGAGGUGAAAUCCGACAGCUUAACUGUCGAACUGCCUUUGAAACUGUAUGUCUUGAGUGAGAUUGAAGCAGCUGGAAUGUGUAGUGUAGCGGUGAAAUGCAUAGAUAUUACACAGAACACCGAUAGCGUAGGCAGGUUGCUAAGUCUUUACUGACGCUGAUGGACGAAAGCGUGGGGAGCAAACAGGAUUAGAUACCCUGGUAGUCCACGCCGUAAACGUUGGAUACUGUCUAUUGGAAAUUUUCAGUGGAUAAGCGAAAGUGAUAAGUAUCCCACCUGGGGAGUACGUUCGCAAGAAUGAAACUCAAAUGAAUUGACGG
This 903-nucleotide ribosomal RNA is filed under the name uncultured bacterium. Its description in RNAcentral is "bacterial SSU rRNA". It matches the Rfam family "Bacterial small subunit ribosomal RNA", at positions 8 to 916 of the family's 1533-position model. The record is from RNAcentral.